Molecule: ribosomal RNA, 240 nt
Filed under: Escherichia coli
Lineage: Bacteria; Pseudomonadati; Pseudomonadota; Gammaproteobacteria; Enterobacterales; Enterobacteriaceae
Description: partial 23S ribosomal RNA
Rfam family: Bacterial large subunit ribosomal RNA
Source: RNAcentral
CUGGAGGUAUCAGAAGUGCGAAUGCUGACAUAAGUAACGAUAAAGCGGGUGAAAAGCCCGCUCGCCGGAAGACCAAGGGUUCCUGUCCAACGUUAAUCGGGGCAGGGUGAGUCGACCCCUAAGGCGAGGCCGAAAGGCGUAGUCGAUGGGAAACAGGUUAAUAUUCCUGUACUUGGUGUUACUGCGAAGGGGGGACGGAGAAGGCUAUGUUGGCCGGGCGACGGUUGUCCCGGUUUAAGC